AGUCACUGACAUUAGAUACCCCUGUAGUCCAGGGUGUAAACGCUGCAGACUUGGUGUUGGAAGUCCUUUGGGGGGCAUUCAGUGCCGGAGAGAAGUUGUUAAGUCUGCUACUUGGGAGUACGUCCGCAAGGAUGAAACUUAAAGGAAUUGGCGGGGGAGCACCGCAACGGGAGGAGCGUGCGGUUUAAUUGGAUUCAACACCGGAAAACUCACCAGGGGAGACUGUUACAUGAAACCCAGACUAAUGAUCUUGGUUGAUUUUCAG
Molecule: ribosomal RNA, 265 nt
Filed under: uncultured archaeon
Lineage: Archaea
Description: partial 16S ribosomal RNA
Rfam family: Archaeal small subunit ribosomal RNA
Source: RNAcentral